UACGGAGGGUGCAAGCGUUAUCCGGAUUCACUGGGUUUAAAGGGUGCGUAGGCGGCUUGAUAAGUCAUUGGUGAAAGCUCGCGGCUCAACCGCGAAACUGCCAAUGAAACUGCCAAGCUUGAAUCUGGUUGAAGUGGGCGGAAUACAACAUGUAGCGGUGAAAUGCUUAGAUAUGUUGUAGAACACCGAUUGCGAAGGCAGCUCACUAAGCCAACAUUGACGCUGAGGCACGGAAAGCGUGGGAUAGCCGAACGAGGGC
Molecule: ribosomal RNA, 259 nt
Filed under: uncultured bacterium
Lineage: Bacteria
Description: partial 16S ribosomal RNA
Rfam family: Bacterial small subunit ribosomal RNA
Source: RNAcentral